CAGUCGCCACGGGAAUACGAAGGGUGCAAGCGUUACUCGGAAUUACUGGGCGUAAAGCGUGCGUAGGUGGUGGUUUAAGUCCGUUGUGAAAGCCCUGGGCUCAACCUGGGAAUUGCAGUGGAUACUGGGUCUCUAGAGUGUGGUAGAGGAUAGUGGAAUUUCCGGUGUAGCAGUGAAAUGCGUAGAGAUCGGAAGGAACAUCUGUGGCGAAGGCGACUAUCUGGGCCAACACUGACACUGAGGCACGAAAGCGUGGGGAGCAAACAGGAUUAGAUACCCGCGUAGUCCCUGUCUCUUAUAC
RNAcentral lists this ribosomal RNA (301 nucleotides) under uncultured bacterium. RNAcentral's name for it is "partial 16S ribosomal RNA". It matches the Rfam family "Bacterial small subunit ribosomal RNA", at positions 509 to 807 of the family's 1533-position model. The record is from RNAcentral.